This 407-nucleotide ribosomal RNA is filed under the name uncultured bacterium. Its description in RNAcentral is "partial 16S ribosomal RNA". It matches the Rfam family "Bacterial small subunit ribosomal RNA", at positions 30 to 526 of the family's 1533-position model. The record is from RNAcentral.
AUUGAACGCUGGCGGCAGGCCUAACACAUGCAAGUCGAGCGGAGCGGCGGACGGGCGAGUAAUGCCUAGGAAUCUGCCUGGUAGCGGGGGAUAACGUCCGGAAACGGGAGCUAAUACCGCAUACUAUCAGAAGAGCCUAGGUCGGAUUAGCUAGAUGGUGGGGUAAAGGCCUACCAAGGCGACGACCAGUAACUGGCUUGAGAGGAUGAUCAGUCACACUGGAACUGAGACACAGUCCAGACGCCUACGGUAGGCAGCAGUGGUGAAUAUUGGACAAGGGUCGAGAGCCUUAUGCAGCCAUGCCGCGUGUGUGAAGAAGGUCUUCGGAUUGUAAAGCACUUUAAGUUGGGAGGCGUUACCAACAGAAUAAGCACCGGCUAACUUCGUGCCAGCAGCCGCGGUAAUUC